RNAcentral lists this long non-coding RNA (10590 nucleotides) under Podarcis lilfordi (Lilford's wall lizard). Lineage: Eukaryota; Metazoa; Chordata; Lepidosauria; Squamata; Lacertidae. The record is from RNAcentral.
AAGAGCGGAGGUUGCUGCGACACAGCCGGACGGUGUUUUUCCACCGCCUCGUUGCCUCACGUUUGGUAUCCCUCCGCGCUGCGUGUGUCCCGGCCCCGCCCCCACUCCUCUGAAUUCGCCUCAGCGAAGCUGAAUGUCAACACGGCGGCCAUUUUGAGGGCGUGAUAACGUUGCUCGUCGUUAUUUUUCGUUUGUUUUCUUGCUCCGCGUCGACACUGAUACUGAAUCCUCAUUACAGCAAUAUGGAGCCGAAACAACCAUGUCGACUCUUCCCUGGUUUGAUGCCCUCAGCCCACCUUUUACACCCUCCUCUUAGUGAACUGAGGUUUAAAAUCAUUCUAUAAAUCUGUAACAGCAGCUGAGAGAUAAAACCUGUUGGUGUGGCCACACGCAUUAAGCACGUUUAUUAGGAGCAAAGCAAGGUGCAUGCGGUUCUUCCCUUUUUAUGUCUUUGUUUUGACUUUUAUAAUCUCACGUCCAAGCCUAUUUUAUCCUCACAACAACCCUGUGAGGUAGGUGAGGCUGAGAGUGACUGGCGCCAAGGAUCACACACAGAGCUUCAUGGCCAAAGCAUGUAUAUGAACCCUGGUCUCCCAGGACUUGGCUGAUGACACUCUAUAACCACACCACACCACGCUGACUUUUAAAUUUACAUUAAAAAGAGAAAAAUGCUUCUCCCCCUCUCCAUUUUCCUCACAGCAACCCUGUGAGGUAGAUUAAAACUUGACAUUAUGGACUUCCUCAUGGCUAAAUGCAGAUUUGAACCAGGUCUCCCUGACACUCUUAACCACUGCACAACAAAGCCUCUCCAUUUUAUGCACAUUUAUGUUCAGAUCGGCCUUUAGCCCAAUCCAACAGGCUCUUCUGUUGUCCUUAUUUGCCAUGGGCCUCUGCCCCAUAGAAGGCAGCUGCACCUACUGCCGAGUAAACACACUUAGGAUUCAUGAGGCGUCAAAUGCCAAGAGGAGGAGGAGACUUUUAAAGUCUGCCCUCCAUAUGUUGUGCAUACAAUGGAAAAAUCUCUGUUGGUGGAGGCCUGUAUAUGUGGGCAUCCUGCCUUUCCUGUAUCUUAAUACUCAUUUAUUAUAUAUAUUUAUAAAAUCUCAUUACAUCUUUGUUAGGCACUUUAGUGAUGCAGUGGUUGUAAGCACCAGUCUAAGACUCAGGGAGACCAGGGUUCAAAUCACCACUCCACAAAACCGAUAUUGGCUCUUGGCCCAGCUCCACAGGGUUGUUUUGGGUCUCGAAACAUGGAGGUGGCCAUGCAGCCUGGCUUGUGCUCUUGAAACAAAGGAAACAAAGGCUAGAUAGACAAAACCCAGCAAAGCUAGGUUGUGAAAACUAAUUCAAAAAGGUUAAUAUAGUCUUGCAAACUUGUUGCAGAGAGGAAGUCAGUUUGGCAUUUUGUAGCUAAGUUAGGGAUGAAUGCAGAAAGGCAAUGGGACUGCUUCUCACUCCAGUAUACAAUUACUGUAUGUACAUGGGAACAGGCCAACUUGCGCAACCCUAGUUUCUUAAUUUACAGAAUCACCUGGGUUGAGCUGGCACUGACAGGAAGGCCACCUUAACAAAAGGAUGAAGAAAGGAGCAGUAAGAAGUGUAAUUAAUUAUUUCUGGAAAGCAUUAAUUUUGCAAGGAAAUGCUAAUUUAACACCACAGCUUUGCAGAGAACACACAUUUAAAACGAGCACGUUAUUUCCAUUCUGUUUAAUGGUGCCAGGAACUAUGUUUUGUGCUUAUUAUGACUGUUGGCCAGCGGAAGGAGCAGCCAACACAAGUGAGUGAGACUGUCCCUGGCUAUAAAUAGAGGUCUCCGCCCCUCUCUUGUCAGAGGUGUAGGGAGCGCCAGGCAGAUAGGAUUUAUUCUGGUGAUUGGGAGGAGAAGAGAAAAUGGGUUUAAAAAGGAAAAUAAUAACAUAGAUGAGUUGCUUUUUAAACUAUAACUAAUAUUUUUCAUAGUAAAAUGAGAAUUUUAUGCUACUAAAAUAUUAACUAUAGUUUAUAUUUUUUAUUAAAAAGAUUGGAGUUAAUAAGGCAUCUGAUCCUAAAAAUCAUUAGGACAGGCAAUAAUUUAAUUAAAAAGAGAAUGGAAAGCAAACAGAAGACUGAAGAAGAACUAAACCUUAAAAAAAAACAGGGGAAAUGGUUAAUUGUUGGCAGAUUAUGGGCUUUUAAAAGUCCCAGAAGAAAAGGCAGGUAAACAAAACUUAACUGAAAACUAAGAAAAAUAUAAAGACGAAGAUUUUAAAGAAAAUCAAGAAAAAGAAAAUAUUUGAAGAUAGAAAUAAAAGAAGAUAGAGGGGGAGCUAUAUUUACAUUUCAAACUAAUUGAGGACUAGUUUUUAAUGUAAAAGUAGAUGGCUCUGAAGUCUGCUUCAAGCAGAGUGCAAAAUGAAGAGAAGAUGGCAGGCUUUUGUUUUAAAAAGCAACUAGAGAGAGGCCUUUCCAUCUGAAGAAAGGGUUAGGCUUUUGUUGCUGAAGGUAGAAAAACCAAGACUGGGAAGACUUGGAAGAGAGGAAGGAGCCAUAGAAGGGUAGAAGGCAACUUAGAAGAGGAUCCAGGAAGAGAGAAAAGGGAGGGAAGGAAAAGGAGCAAAAUCUGUAACAACUGUGUCUGAAAAGGAUAGCAAAGAGGAAGGAGGAGAUGAAAAGGACAGAGAUUUGUAAUUGUUUGCAGCCAUUUUGUGGCGGCUUCUCCUCAAGGACUUUGUGAAAGAUGUUCUUUUUCAAAGGGAUGCAGUGGGAAGGAUUUCCUUAAAAUAUAAGGUGUCAAGGACUAAAAUAAGCAUCUGAUACACCAGCCUUAAAAUGGGUUGGCAUCUGACACCUAAUUCUGAAGUUAGGAAGAGUCGUUCCAGCAGCCAGUGCAAAUUGGUGAAGCUAGAAAAGAUACCGAAAGCAUUGAGAAAAAAAGCAAGAAAACUCCUGAGGGAAGAGCCUUACUUAGCUUUAGAUCAAGAAUGAAGGAGCAAAUAUGUGGUGAAGACGGUGAACUUCUCGGUAGUUGGUAACCUAAUGGGAAGGCUCUGUAUUCUUAGUUUUCCUUGUCAAGGGCUGUUUUGUGGGGUGCGGGGAGCAGGGGUGUUGGUGUUGUAGGUUUCUCUCUUUGCAGGCAUAAUUGCGCCCGUUGUCUGUUGCCGAGAAGCUAUUGCUGAGAAGCUAACAGGCAGUCUGCACGUGCUUCGUUUCCGUCCCACCGGUUCCUGAGGUUAGCGUUUUUUCCAUCCAGCCCCGAGAAUGGUUAGCUAGCAUCUGCAACCCUCCCCAGAAUGAGCGAGUCGAGAACCUGGUGGACAGACAGAACACUGCAGGUAGCAGCAGCAAAAGCACCCACAGAAAAAGGGGUGAGAGAAACCAGCCUGUUGGACUCCUGUUGCGGGCCUCCGGUCGAGGGAGGAGGGUAGGCACCAAAAUCUUGUUUAGUUUUUGUCCCUUCAGGUGUGUUUGUGAAUGUAGAUCUAGAGGAUUCCCAAUGUUCCAGUCUUGAUAAUUAACUUAAAGCAAAAAAGGAAGGAAGCCUGUUGAGAAUGAUUCCAGUGUGGGGGAAAACAGGAGCCUUUUUGAGGAACAUCCUGCUGAUGGCAGCGCUUAGCAAAAGAGGUGGCCACCUCAUGGCACCUGGGAAGGAGCAGCAGUCACUGGAGAGGAGCUUUUGCUUAGAGCAAUGUCCAGUCGAGGAUCCUGCCGGGUCAAAUUGCAUGUUUUCUCUUUGGAAAGUGCUAAGUAUACAACCUUCUUGACAAUCAAUCAUGCUAGCCUUGAUGGGGGGAGUGGGGAAUGCACUGGGGAGAGGGAUAAACACCCGCUUCAUUCUAGCCUCUUUGCAGGUACUGUAGCGUCCCCAGGUGGCUUGGUUUAGAACUGUAGUCCUGCAGUAUUGUGGCAAGGUUACCACCCCAGAGGCUGGAGCUCUCUUUGCCUAGGAAGAAAGGACAGUGCUUAAAGUUGGCGUUUGUGCUGGAGCCCUGGUCGUUCAGCCACUCCUUUCGGAAGAGCUGGGAACUUGAAAGCUAAGUUUUCCUUAGGGGGCUAAAAAGCAGAGAAUUCUCCAGCGUCAGUGUGUAAUGUGGAAGGGGCUGUCUGGUUGGACGGGGGCGGGGCGGGUUUUAGGGAGGGCAUGGGGGAUGAUAACUUGUUUUCGGAUUCUUUUCCCAGGAUAAUCGUAACAUUAGGCCUGGAAAAAAAAUAAGAUUAUUAAGCUUCUAGACUGGCAAGUACUUCUUGAAAUAUUCAGAAAAGACUUUCCUUCCAAGUAACGGCCAAUACUCAUGGAAAGGUCUCUGUGAAUCCCUUGGGUCCAAAAUGAACAGAGCUGCUUCUCUUGCAUUCCCUCUAAAGGGCCGGAGAAGAAAACAACUUGCAGAUAUGGAGGGUCUUUGCGGGGGAGACCUGCUUAGCUAAGAGUUGGCAGGGGUGGGGUUGAACUCUUCAUGCCUUUAGUGGUUUGUGGUUUUCUUUUGGCAUUUUUUGCAGGUGCUUAAUAUGUCUUAAUGCCACUGUAGAGGCUUCAGGGAGAAAGGAGGAGCUUAAUGAUCCUGGUGUGGGAUUCCUUCUGAUGGUAGCUUGUAUAAUUUUUCCAAGUAAGAUUCUGCUUUUGAUUGCUUUGUCUUGUGUAUGAGUUCCAAGUCUAGGAAUUAUUUGCAUUGAUGAACAUUCUUGCGUAAUGAAUUCUGUAACAUACUGAAAACAAUUCAACGUUAACAAUGACAAGACUUAAACAGCUCAUGUAAGCAGAUUAAUGAUUAAGUCAUACCAUUAAAACGGAAAAAAAGAUUGUCUAAUGCUCAUAGUUCGAUAUGUGUCUAUGUCUUCUACGGGCGGUGGGGGGGCUUGGUAGGGAAACAUUUCUUGUCUAGCCCUUUUUCAGAUCCGUCUUCAGAAUACUAGCCUCAAGGAGCCUGAGAAAUACAAGGCCUCAUAAGCAGAGGGAGCAGCUUCUUGGUGGAGGAUAAGUAAAGGCAGAACCAUCCUAUGCUAUUACUCCUUUGAUUGAUGGAAAAAGUCCCAGAUGUUAAACAAGUGAAAGUCCAGUGCCAACCAAGGGGGGAAAACCCACAAGGUCAUAAGCAAUGAAGCAGGCAGAUUGGAAGUGUGUGGAUUGAGUGUGAAAUGCCAUGAUGAUAUUCUGUGAAAUUCCCAAAAUCAAUGCAAUGAGGAGGAGGAGGAGGAGUUGGCAUUAAAGCAGUGAGAGAGAUCCCACUUCUUCAGUGUGGGAGCAAAAUUGAAAGAGAAUCUUCAGGGGAGCGGCAAAUAAGCUUUCUACCAAAGUGUGAUGCCCAUUCUUUGAUACGCAAUAUUGCUAAAUCUUAAUGGAAUUGGAAGAGAGAAUAAUGCGAUGUUGAAAUAUUCCUAAAUCUAAAUGGAAACGAAGAGAGAAUAAUGCAAAGCCACGCUAGUGUUGGAUCAAACGUGUGUUGGAGAGGAGAGGAGGCGCCUUGUGCUGUUGUCCUUCUUUACCUCAGACAGGUGCUCGGCACUCCUAAGGAGAGGAAAUGUGCUUCGUUCCAUCGGGGAGCUGUAUAAGCGAGCAGGCAUCUGUUACAGAUAAGUUUUACCUAUUCUGCCAGAAUUGCAUGUCAGAAAGGUGGGUGGCUUAAUCUUUCCAAGUUGUGGUAGGUGCCGGAGUCAUUUGGAUCAGCCCUACUGGCUGCUUGCUAACUACGCUUCUUGCUGGGUUGCCUGUGGCCCCCAGUUGCCCUCAAAGGGGGAGCUACAGCUCUACUAAUCUGAUGAUCAUGCUUUCUGUUAUUUCCUGGGUGUCUGGGCCUCGCCUUGCCCACUUGAUAGGAGCAGACCACUAUAGGUGGCGCAUCCCUGCCCUUUAGAGGGUGUAUUCAAUGCCAGUCCAAUCGCAGAAGCAUGCAGCAGAGAGCAAAGUAAUGGUAGCAUUCAAAGCACUUGUGCAAGACCUGCUAGAGGUGGCACAUUAAUACACUUGCAAUAAAAUGACCAAAGUACUCCAAGAAUAGGAAGUUGUCGUCUUUGUUCUUAAAUAAACCAUGCUGCUGUUGAUGUUGCUGUUGUUUGUGAAUCGCUCUCGGGUUGUUUGGUGGGGGUAGGGGGGCAUUCUUGUUGUUCUUUCAGACUCUUUCUCCGUGAACACCCCCGUCUUGAUUGGACAAGCACAGAAAUUGAACGGAAGACUGGUUCUCUAAAUCAGGCAGGAAAUCUUUGCAGCCUAUUUUUCCUCCUUUCCCCAUUCCACUGAGGCAGAUGGUAGAUCCAGGCACUUGGCAUACAGAGGUCUUGUAACUAAGGAAUAUGAUUUGACCAAGGGAGGAGUUCUAAAAUGCUUAAAACUAGACCAGUGGGGGAAAAAACUUAGCGGUUUGGGGUAAGUAAAUGCCUAAGUUCACAUCUUGCAGCUGAAGAAGCUGUGUUCUUCCCAGAACUUGAGCCUUGGCAAUUUUACCAGGCAAAAAUCCAGACACAGGAGGAGGAGGACAGAAUUAGUACAAGUGUGUACGUCUGUGUACUUUAAACCAAAGAUUAACACUUGUCGGUCUUGCCUAGCCUUGCCUAUGUAGAAACUUGCAUGCCCCUUUGAUAUGCUUGCCAUCCAUCUCCUGUAGUGCUAGCGCUCUCAUCUCUUUCCAGUUAACAACAUGCAGGGCUGGGCUGAGGGGGGUGAUAUGGGGGCAACUGUUUCAGUGUCUUGUUUCAGAGGCUUCAUCUCAUAAUGCCUAGACCCUAACGCACCAUUUGUGAAGCUGCUCAGGAUGAUGACUCUCUCCUGUUGCCACAUUCUCUGUGCGCAUGUGAAGGCCUUUGCAGUGAGUUGACUGACGCUCGUACACUUAACAGCUGUUCUGACUUGAUCACCUUGGGGGUGGUGGGAGGGGCUCACAUUGUCCCAGCUCUUCUUUUUUGCAGACUUCACAGAGAGAAGCGUGUCUGAAGCAGAUCUGUUCAGUUGGCAAGUAAUAAAUGAUGGCAGUGUGCUUGAUCUGCUUGCGUAGAAAAUAUGAAUCUGCCUCCUUUCCCUUGUGUGGAGUAGUGAUUGUUGAAGGAGAAAUAAAUCGCUGAGUGACAAAAUGCCUGUGGUUUGAAAGGAGCUCUUGAAUCCGAUGUCCAGUAAAAACCCUGCCGUGUAAACGCUCGUUGUAUGACUGAGAGACACGUGCAUUUUGACUGUGCUGCUUUAGGUAACCUGCUGUUUUGUUCUUCUUUGGCUGCUGGGGGAGGGGGCGAGGGUACUGAAGCCUUUAAGUCUCUUCCAGAUGCAUCUUCACAUCUCACAGACACCAGAAAUAAAACCCUUCCAACCCAACAAACCAUCAAGAAGCGAACUUCACAUUCCACCAGUUAGUGGUCGUAUUUUCCGUGCAAUGCUUUUGUGUGGGUCUCUCCUUUUUCAGUUUCCUCACAGUUUUGAGCAACAGCACACAACACCCCAAUAAAGCCAGCUCUCCUCGAGGAGCCACAGAAGUCAUGGCAGUAAGAAACAGUUGUGGUCAAAGCACUUUUGCAUGGGAUGAGUGGGAGGGGGCUGGUGACAAACCAGUGUCUCUAGAUUGCUUUUCACAGACCAGUAGAAGGAACUGCCAGACACAAGAAUUCACACUUCAAUGGACAAAAGAACAGGUGAACCACAUUUUCUCUCUUUUCACAGCAGGAAUCAUGAAGCCAGAAUGUUAAGAGACUGGGAAGUUUUUAAUGCAUCUUCCCCUUCUGCCUCUGUAGGUUCAGCUUCAUGCUGAAACCCCAAUCACAAUGGGAGUAAAUACUGUAUGUAAAUUCCAUCCUUAACGGAUGCUUGAGGCAAUGGUGGGUUGAGACCCGAUAAGCUUUAACAGCCGAAAGGGAUCCCCACUGAAAGAGGAGCUUCAUGCUCCGAAGCCUCUCCAGACACCUUGUAAUGCCUAGUUGGAGUGGAGGCAGAACUAAUGGCAAAGAAUUGAAGAACCUCCUGAGAAGACUGGCUUGCCCAGUGUCAUUGGCAGGAUGGGGCCCUUUGUGAUAACUCUGCAAUGGGCUGGCAGAAUUGCCACCAGACUAUAAGGUGUCUGUGGCCAUGGUGGUGCUAACACUGAAUCGUGGCCAUCUUUCAGUUUUUUAAGUCAUUGACUUGACAAGUGCUUUAAGAGGUUUUGUGGGGGGUGGGAUUAUGCCGCAACCCGCUUUUCUGCUAAGAAUCUUCCAGGAACAGCUAUUGCGCACAUAACUCAGCCAACACAAAGCGUUGACUCCAUACUAAAGCUUGGAUCCUCUCCAGUACUUCUGUUCUCAAGGUAAUCCCUUAAAAUACCAAUUUCAAAACCAGAGCUAGCAAUCGGCUUGUUUGGCCAGUAACCUCUCACUCCAAAGCUAACAUCGCAGUUGAAGGAAGGUAACUACUGAAACCCUUGACGUUAUCCGAGAGCAAAAUACUGAUGAUAUGACAGGCACAGACUCUGAACAAGUAAACAUCUAAGUGCUGUAUGAUAAAAGCAGUAACCAGCGGUUGUACGUGUUGUGAUCGUGAGACAUAAUGGGUGGGUACCAUGUGCUUGGCUAGGCAGAUUUCCAGUUGUGAUCCACAGAGUGGCAUUGGGGAGGGUGUUGCAACUCUUGUGCUAAGACUCUUUCAGGUCGCAGUAAGGGAGUAGUCAGAAGCGGAAGCUUUAUGAAGCAGAUUCCUUCAAAUCUCCAAAUCUCUCUUAAGGUUUUUCUUUUCCUGAGAGAACAAUCUUGUGUUUUCUCAGGUUUUGCUUUUCACCUUGCUGCAUUACAAAAAAAAAAAAAGCAAAAGACACUGGUGGUCGGCACUCCUGGUUUCCAGGAUGGGGUUCAAGUCCCUGCGGUGUCCUUGCUUGCUUCCAAUGCAACUCCUAUAUGUUUCAUCUCUUUCUUUUCCUUCACUGCCUUAAUUGCAUUCCAUCCUCUAAAGCCUAAAUGUUGUAUGAUUUUACUGAGGUUUGAUCAGUGAUAACUAGGAUUUGAAACCUAACAACUGAUGCAGCUUGGCUUUUGCUGUGAAGCUGCUUCCCUAAUGUCUUGGUAGGCUGUAUCAUGUGGACCGUUCUCAACCUAACUUUCCAUCCACUGGUAAGAUGAAGACUGAUUCUGUUUAAGAAGAUUCCACAUGCAUCUGGUCUAUUUGAAUUCCAGAUGCUACUGGGAGCAUCUGGUAGGGGGAGUGGCAAGUUUUCUGUAGAGGUAACAGCAAAGUUUCCUUAAAUGGGAAAUUUAUGCAGAGAUUGGUAUGCAGUUCUAACCUGUGCUUUUCUUUAAGAAAAAGUGUCGGUACUCACCAUGAAGUUGUUAUAUGCCACAGUUUUAAACAGUACUUCUCUAGAAAAAGGAGGUGCCAGUACAGUAUACCCUUGAGUACCCCCAGAAAAAAACACUGGUUCUAACAGUGCCUGAAUAAUAGUUUACCAGUCCCCCACAAUAUUCUUGCGGAGAAACUGGUAACGUGGGCUAGAAAAUGUUACUGUUAGGUGGUUUUGUAGCUGGGUUGACUGAGCAUACCCAAAGUGUGCUCACCAAAUGGUUCCUUGUUAUCCUGGAAGAAAAUGACAAGUAGGGUGCUGCAGUGUUCUUUUGUGGGCUGAUGUUCAACAUCUUUAUAAAUGACUUGGAUGAAGCAAUAUAGGGGAUGCCUAUCAAAUUUGAAGAUGACACCAAAGUAGGGGUAGCUAAUAUCUCAGAAGAUAAGAGAAAACUGAAUCCUGAUUCAUAACAGAUUGAGCAACAGGACCAAAACUUAACAUAAACAAUUUCAACUGAAAUAAUUUCAGUAAUUACAAAAUUUUAGGGUUCUAUAAUUAGGCUGGAAUACAGUAUGGGAUACAACUGGCUUGACAGGGAGUACACAUGAAAAGGAUCUGUGUCUUAAUAGACCACGUGCUUAACAUGAGUCAACAGUGUGAUGUAGCAACAAAAAGCUAAUGCAGUUCUUGACUGCAUUAACAAACGUAGUGUCUAGAUCAAGGGAUUCUAUUCUACCUUAGUCAGACCCUACCUGGAGUCUUGUGUCCAGUUCUGGAUACCACAGUUUAAGAUCAAUAUUGGCAAGCUGGAACAUGUGCAGAGGAGGGUGACCAAGAUGAUCUUGAAACCAAACCUUUAUGGGAGUUGGGGAUGUUUAGCUUGCAGAGAGGAUAAGGUGGCAUAAGUUUAUUGAGGAAUAGCCAUGAACAUAGGCUUCCAGAGUAACUGCUAACUCAUUUAUCCUAACAGGCCAGCAUGGGUGUUCCUGCUGCAAAUGACAAAUAAGAUGAGUGGCCUUACAGCAGACAAAAUGAAUGCUAGAGUUGGAAGCAACCCUGAGGAUCAUCUAGUCCAACUCGCACCCCCCAUGCAGGAAUAUGCAGCUGUCCCAUACAGGGGUCAAACUUUCAACCUUAUCAUUAUUAGUACUAUGCUCUAACCAACUGUGCUAUGCAGACCUGUUAAUGUCUUUGCAUUGUUUGGUGUGGGAGGAAAAUUUAGUGUCUUUGGUUGCUUUGGUUACAGUGGGCCAGAUGAAAAUUGGGGGUUGGUGUCCAAGUAUCUGCUUCAGGCUGUCCUUUAGUUUUCACCACACAUUUGAAAUGUGCCUUGUGUGUACGUGCCUAUGACAUAAUGUGUGUUACCGCUUUGAAAUAAAAUUGGAAUAAAUUCUUA